UCCCUGGUGGUCUAGUGGCUAAGACUAUGAGCUCCCAGUGCAAGGGUCCUGGGUUCAAUCCCUGGUCAGGGAA
Molecule: transfer RNA, 73 nt
Filed under: Capra hircus (goat)
Lineage: Eukaryota; Metazoa; Chordata; Mammalia; Artiodactyla; Bovidae
Also listed under: 1 other name
Rfam family: tRNA
About the family: Transfer RNA (tRNA) molecules are approximately 80 nucleotides in length. Their secondary structure includes four short double-helical elements and three loops (D, anti-codon, and T loops).
Source: Rfam by way of RNAcentral